UCACGGCAAAGCCAGAUCCUUGACCCGCUGAGCGAGGCCAGGGAUCGAACCCUCAACCUCAUGGUUCCUAGUCAGAUUCGUUAACCACUGAGCCACAAUGGGAACUCCCUACAGGAUCAUUUUUAAUGACUCUAUGAUAUUCCAUUAGAUGGUGUGCCAACAUUUUUUUUUAAUCCUCUUCUGAGAAAAUUAGGAUAUUUCCAAACUUGCUGUUUUUAUAAACAUUCCUGGGGCAAACAUCCUGGGCAGAACUCUUUGCUCAGUUACCUAAUUAUAUUCUUAGGGGAAAAAUCCCUAGAAAUGGAAUCGCUGAAUGGAGCACUUGCACUUUUCUCUAAGGUUGUUGCUUCUUCUUGCCAAAAAGCCCCUUGGAAAACCUUCCCCCUCUCUGCCCUCCUCCAGCAAUGUAGGAAAAUGCACAUUUCCCACACUCUCACCCAUUCUGGGCAUCGUAAAACAUUUCAACCUUAGAGCACACAUUUUCAGGAAAGCACAUGACAGUUCUGCUUAGUCUUGACCUCCAGCAUGACUGGCCAGAAGCCCUGGAACCCGGGUGAAAUGACCAGAUAGAGCCAGGCGCGCUGGGCACACGGAGGGCCUCUCCCCGCCUGCUUUCUCUUCCAGGGAAGAAAAUGAAAAUAAAAAGGCCCAGGGGAAUCAUCUCUCUGCACGCCAACUAGAUGAUGGAGGAACUGGGGAGAAGAAGGCGCCAAGAGUGUCACAGGCCGCCUCCUUCACGCUCCCAGGUCUCCAUCCCGAAGCUCGUGCCAUGGCUGGACCAGAGCAGAUGUUCCACAUGUGGUUCUCUGAGUGAGUCCUCGUUCCACCACUUCUUAGCUGGGAGACCUUGAGUAAGAAUGUGGGCACCCUGGCUGGAGCUCCUGAAGCCAUCUUGUGACCUUGAGGAUAGAAGUCAUGGGCCAAGGAUGGGCCAAGCCGAGUGAGAAGUCACCUCCAUGCCAGCCCUGAAUUGCCUGCUUUGAAACUUCUUCAUAAAAGAAAUGUGAGACUUCAUUUAAUUUAAACCACUUUAGUUUUCUCUUUUAGACAGCUAAACCAAAAUCCGAUACAACAACCACGCAGUUUCAUGCCUCUGAGUUUUUGCAUAGCUGUUCUCUCUGCUAGGAACGUUUCCUUCCAGUCCUCUACCUGGUGAACUUGUAAUCGUGUUUGAAGCUUCCACUGCAGCAUCCCACUCUGUGUGGAAUCCCUUCUAACUGACCCCUCAGGUAGGCAUAAUAUAUGUUUAAUAAAUAUUCAAACAAUUAAGUAAUAAUUGUUGAAGGAAAAUUUCUAAGAAUGAAUGAAAAAUGAAUCAUGUACAUAAAAAUGACAAGGACGGAGUUCUCUUUGUGGCUUAGUGGUUACUGAAACUGACAAGGGUCUAUGAGGAUGCAGGUUCGAUCCCUGGCCUCGCUCAGUGGG
This is a long non-coding RNA of Sus scrofa (pig), 1425 nucleotides long. RefSeq lists it as uncharacterized. The record is from RefSeq and is a predicted model, not a curated record. NCBI's taxonomy places the organism in Eukaryota, Metazoa, Chordata, Mammalia, Artiodactyla, Suidae.